This 208-nucleotide long non-coding RNA is filed under the name Elaeis guineensis (African oil palm). Its description in RNAcentral is "long non-coding RNA (EGUI_LNC043780)". Lineage: Eukaryota; Viridiplantae; Streptophyta; Magnoliopsida; Arecales; Arecaceae. The record is from RNAcentral.
UUUGCUAUCUUUUAUAUUUUGUUAGGUCAACUAAUUCUUACUUAGUUUCUUUUGUAGGGAUCUGAAGAUAAUCUUGGCUAAGUUGGGGAGAGAAUCAAUUUUGAAAAAGAUUUUUGGAUCAGGUGCCAUCUCUCUUUUUUUUUCUUUUUGCAUGCACCCUUCAUUUUUUCUACUCCAUUGAAGACAAUGUCGAUUAAGUUGGGGGGGA